This is a non-coding RNA of Caenorhabditis elegans, 290 nucleotides long. Lineage: Eukaryota; Metazoa; Nematoda; Chromadorea; Rhabditida; Rhabditidae. The record is from Ensembl.
GAAUAAAAAACAAUGAUCAAUAAAAUGAUGCGGUAGUUGCGUAAAUCGACACAUGAUGGUCGCCUCUUCCGUGCGAGACCCAUUGGGCGGAGUUCUCACAAGAAUGAGGCCAAUCGGCACACAACACGCGUGCGACAGGCAGUGAACGACGUGUUUUUGGCUCAGUUCCUACCAAUCCCUGGUGUACACACGAGCGCCACGUGGACCUUAACAAUUCGGGUCUAUUUUUAUGCUUCUGCUCUGCAUUUUCUGGAUUAUUAGUAAUAAUAUCAUUAAAAGUGAUAUAACGC